RNAcentral lists this ribosomal RNA (402 nucleotides) under uncultured bacterium. RNAcentral's name for it is "bacterial SSU rRNA". It matches the Rfam family "Bacterial small subunit ribosomal RNA", at positions 355 to 774 of the family's 1533-position model. The record is from RNAcentral.
UGGGGAAUCUUGCACAAUGGGGGCAACCCUGAUGCAGCGACGCCGCGUGAGCGAUGAAGCCCUUCGGGGCGUAAAGCUCCUUCGACCGGAACGAUAAUGACGGUACCGGGAGAAGAAGCUGCGGCUAACUACGUGCCAGCAGCCGCGGUAAUACGUAGGCAGCAAGCGUUGUUCGGAGUUACUGGGCGUACAGAGUGCGUAGGCGGUUUUCUAAGUUCGGUGUGAAAUCUCCCGGCUUAACUGGGAGGGUGCGCCGAAGACUGGGAAGCUGGAGUGUGGGAAAGGCAGGCGGAAUUCCUGGUGUAGCGGUGAAAUGCGUAGAUAUCAGGAGGAACACCGGCGGUGUAGACGGCUUGCUAGACCAUAACUGACGCUGAGGCACGAAAGCGUGGGUAGCAAACA